GACGAACGCUGGCGGCGUGCUUAACACAUGCAAGUCGAACGGAAAGGCCCUGCUUUUGUGCGGUGCUCGAGUGGCGAACGGGUGAGUAACACGUGAGUAACCUGCCCUUGACUUUGGGAUAACUUCUGGAAACUGGGGCUAAUACCGGAUAGGAGCUCCUGCUGCAUGGUGGUCGUUGGUAAGUUUCGGCUGUUGGGGCUGGACUCGCGGCUUAUCAGCUUGUUUGUGGGGUAGUGGCUUACCAAGGCUUUGACGGGUAGCCGGCCUGGGAGGGUGACCGGCCACAUUGGGACUGAGAUACGGCCCAGACUCCUACGGGAGGCAGCAGUGGGGAAUAUUGCACAAUGGGCGGAAGCCUGAGGCAGCAACGCCGCGUGCGGGAUGACGGCCUUCGGGUUGUAAACCGCUUUCGCCUGUGACGAAGCGUGAGUGACGGUAAUGGGUAAAGAAGCACCGGCUAACUACGUG
Molecule: ribosomal RNA, 468 nt
Filed under: uncultured bacterium
Lineage: Bacteria
Description: partial 16S ribosomal RNA
Rfam family: Bacterial small subunit ribosomal RNA
Source: RNAcentral